This is a small nucleolar RNA of Conger conger (European conger), 151 nucleotides long. RefSeq annotates it as small nucleolar RNA U109. The record is from RefSeq and is a predicted model, not a curated record. The transcript has a single exon. NCBI's taxonomy places the organism in Eukaryota, Metazoa, Chordata, Actinopteri, Anguilliformes, Congridae.
UUGCAUGUAUUGGCCCUCGGGCUAAAAUUCCAUCUCUCUCUCUGCUGUGGGGAGUUUGGAAAGAUUCGUAACAUGCUAUAUUAACCAGAGUUUUCAGGGCCACCAGUCUCUAAAGUCCAGGCUGAGUCGGUAGUAUAAAACUCCAACACUU